AGGAUCCAGAAGGAGCUGGCAGACAUCACUUUAGACCCGCCGCCAAACUGCAGUGCUGGUCCCAAAGGUGACAACAUCUAUGAGUGGAGAUCAACCAUUCUGGGGCCUCCAGGGUCUGUGUAUGAAGGUGGAGUCUUCUUCCUCGACAUCACUUUUACACCAGAGUAUCCCUUCAAGCCUCCAAAGGUAAGGAGUCUCCUGUGUCUUCUCACAUUUAACUGUCCUUGAGAAAGAUUAAAGUUUUCAAUGUACUCACAAAAGCCAGAUUUCUUCCACGUGUGUGCUGCUGGCCACUGACGCCUCCUUACCCAGUCCCCUCCAUGUUGGAAGAGCUGUGUGGACUGCGGUGCAGUCUAGAUCUGCUGUGUAGGUCGGAAGAGCUUAGCUUCCUGCUGUGCAGUGUUUGCUAGUGUAAGUGAAUGUGAUGACUGGUGAUUGGUCAUAGGCAUUUCCAGGGUAAGUACUUAAGAUUGCUGUUUAUAGCUUCUUAGACUUAAUGACUCCGGAGCAGUGUGUUCCUUCCAGCUAACACAAGAGGCCAGCAGACAACCAACAACUUAGACCUAUUGAUGUCUAAACAUUAAAACUAAGCCAGAUGCUACUAGUCACACAUAUGUCAUCCUACAGUCUGGAAGCAGAAGCAGAGGGGAGGAUCAAAAGUUUGCAGCUAGUGUGGGGUACACGGCACCAGGAUGGCCUGAUGGAGAAGGGAGGAAGUGUGGACUGUUCGCCUCGAGCAGUGGUCACUGCUGUAGAGUGAGAUGGAGGGGUUAGCCUGAAGUGUCCUAAUGCCCCUACCUGAUGCUGCUUAACAACUGCCUUACUUUUAGGUUACGUUUCGUACAAGAAUUUAUCACUGUAAUAUUAAUAGCCAAGGAGUUAUCUGCUUGGACAUAUUGAAAGACAACUGGAGCCCAGCACUAACCAUCUCGAAAGUCCUCCUCUCUAUCUGCUCACUCCUUACAGACUGCAAUCCUGGUAAGACUGUAGUCACCUGCACUGUAUUUCUUAGUAAAUGACAAAGUACUUGUU
RNAcentral lists this long non-coding RNA (1032 nucleotides) under Rattus norvegicus (Norway rat). RNAcentral's name for it is "long non-coding RNA NONRATT010274". The record is from RNAcentral. Lineage: Eukaryota; Metazoa; Chordata; Mammalia; Rodentia; Muridae.